GAGGUUGGGUGAGGACGACACGUGUAACAUCAUUAUCAAGAUCAGUCGAACGAGUAUCUCCGACACGGUAACAACUUCAGCGCACUAUUGGUCACCAGCUGCAUUCUUCAUCGUAUCAUCAGUUCGCAAUCAUGGUAAACUAUGGCGUUGUUCUGCUGUUGGGUGUUGAAUCGCUGACGGUUGGGUCGACCACUGGUGUACCGAUGUCUCCUGGUCCUGUGUAUGGUGGAUAUCAAAGCACAACAUUGCUGUCUUAAUACUCAUCAUCAACCAAUGCUGCUCCAGCUUACACCACCAAGGCUUCAGAAAAGUUGCAUUAAAGGAGAGAAAAGCCUUUUCCGACACGACAACAACUUCAGCGCACUAUUGGUCACCAGCUGCAUUCUUCAUCGUAUCAUCAGUUCGCCAUCAUGGUUAACUAUGGCGUCGUGCUGCUGUUGGGUGUCGUAUCGUUGAU
Molecule: long non-coding RNA, 457 nt
Organism: Daphnia pulex (common water flea)
Lineage: Eukaryota; Metazoa; Arthropoda; Branchiopoda; Diplostraca; Daphniidae
Exons: 4
Source: RefSeq, a predicted model, not a curated record